This 410-nucleotide unclassified non-coding RNA is filed under the name Hevea brasiliensis (rubber tree). Lineage: Eukaryota; Viridiplantae; Streptophyta; Magnoliopsida; Malpighiales; Euphorbiaceae. The record is from RNAcentral.
GUCGUAGUAGCGGCGGCGGAGGGAGGGCGAGGACCGCUGAAGGAUUCGACGGUGGAGCUCAAACUGCUGGAAGUAGGUCUAUGAGGGUUAAUCUGAAAUCGGGAAUCGGGGAAGGGAUCUGGAGCGUUGACGGGAUGAGGAGGGAAAGGAGGGUAAUCGAAAAACGAAGUGGGAUUAGGAAGAGGGAAAUUGGUUUUAGCUUUAGGGCCUCGGAGGGUUAUGGCGGCGUUAUCGUAAGCACGGGCGGCGUCUUCGGCGGAAUCAAAGGUCCCUAACCAAACUCUUGUCUUCUUCCAAGGGUCUCUGAUCUCCGCCGCGAAUCUUCCCCAUGGCCUUUUACGGACUCCUCUGUAUCUCCGUUCCGAUCCGGUGGUAGGUGGUUCACGCGCCGCCGGUACCGGCACCGCCGC